Molecule: ribosomal RNA, 495 nt
Filed under: uncultured bacterium
Lineage: Bacteria
Description: bacterial SSU rRNA
Rfam family: Bacterial small subunit ribosomal RNA
Source: RNAcentral
AACGAACGCUGGCGGCAGGCCUCAUACAUGCAAGUCGAGCGAUUAAGACUCCUUCGGGAGUGUAUAAAAGCGGCGAACGGGUGAGUAACAGGUGGAUGAUCUACCUUCCGGUGGGGGAUAACGGCUGGAAACGGCCGCUAAUACCGCAUUCGGUUAAUACGCUGUGGCGUAUUAAAGAAAGGCGCCUCAAAGCGCCGCCGGGAGAUGAGUCCGCCCCCCAUUAGCUAGUUGGUGAGAUAACAGCUCACCAAGGCAACGAUGGGUAGCCGAACUGAGAGGUUGAUCGGCCACACUGGAACUGAGACACGGUCCAGACACCUACGGGUGGCAGCAGUAGGGAAUAUUGGGCAAUGGGCGAAAGCCUGACCCAGCCAUGCCGCGUGAGUGAUGAAGGUCCUAGAGAUUGUAAAACUCUUUUCUGAGGAAAGAAUGAAUAGGGAAGGAAAUGUCCUUAUUUUGACGGUACCUCAGGAAUAAGGAACGGCUAACUCCGUG